Molecule: long non-coding RNA, 1154 nt
Organism: Olea europaea var. sylvestris
Lineage: Eukaryota; Viridiplantae; Streptophyta; Magnoliopsida; Lamiales; Oleaceae
Exons: 3
Source: RefSeq, a predicted model, not a curated record
CCUAAUUUGUGUUAAUUUUCUUUUGUUUUUAGUUAUGGACCCAUUUUGAAGCAAUUGGAAAAGAAAAUAAUCAAUUGGCUAUUACAUUGAGUUUGUGGACAAAAUCUCGCGGAAUAAAAGAUGGAGGAUCAAAAUUGAGGAGAAAAUGAAGAGAAGGACCAACUUGCAUUACACGAAAGAAAUACACAAAACUUAUUGGACUUGGGCUUCUAAUUUGUAUACAGAAUAAGGGCUUUUUUUGCUUAGGUAUAUGUAUACUUGCAGUCGAGAAAAGCCGAGGGGGGUAGACAAAAAUUCAUAAACACAUAGACAGAAAACGACGAGGAAGAGGCAGCCGUGGGAGGAAAUUAGAAUCCCUUUUGGGAUUAUUCAAGUCGGCGGCAAAUUGAGAGGAAGCCGGGGCUGAGUUGAAUAUAUUAAAUACAAAAGAAAACGGCAGGUUGAAGGGAGUGCCGGGGGCUGAAUUUAUAUUAUUGGAUGCACAGAAAACGACAGAUUGAAAUUGCUGAAUUGAUAUAGACGGCCAGCAGCUGACGGUGAAUUGGUGGGCUGCAAAGUUUGAAUUAAAUACACAUACACACCCACCAGAAGCCAAUAUUUGGAAGAGAUUAGAGACGCAGAAAACGACGGCUGGAAUUAAUAAAUUUGGAAGCUGAAUUGAUUAUAUUAUAUACAAAACAAUUGAAGUGGGCGGCAGCUUUGGACUCUAGUAUUGUAUUACAAAAGUGAGGGGCCUAAUUGGAAUAAUAUAUAUACUAGAUAGAGGACAGCAAACACGAGACGGAGACGGACGGAAGGCAGCGGCUUAAAGGAAAAAAUUUCAGAUUACUCUUGGAAGGAACUUUGAUGUCAAUCACGUUCCGUCAAUUAUUGGUGAUGUCGUUCCACUUUUAUUUAUUUAAUUUUGCCGUUAUGUUAGGCUAGAUCUUUUAUGCUAGGAUUUGCGAUAAAUCUUAUAUUAUGAACCCUUAAUCUUGAAUUUUAUUUAUUCGACGUUAAAACAUGUUUUUAAUUAUUGAAUGAUUGACAUGGAUUUUAUUCUCUACAAUUAUAGGCGCAAUAUUUGUAUGAGAUUUGUGGCUUGUGUUACUCUCGAGAGAUAGAAAAUAAGUUAGACAUUAUGUUAAUUGUCGUAAAGUCCGAUAGGGGAUAGA